RNAcentral lists this ribosomal RNA (539 nucleotides) under Olpidium viciae. RNAcentral's name for it is "eukaryotic LSU rRNA". The stretch from base 179 to 332 matches the Rfam family "5.8S ribosomal RNA". The record is from RNAcentral. Lineage: Eukaryota; Fungi; Olpidiomycota; Olpidiomycetes; Olpidiales; Olpidiaceae.
UUCCGUAGGGGUGACCUGCGGAGGGAUCAUUACUGAGUGAGGGCCUUCGGGCUCGACCUCCAACCCUUUGUGAACACAACUUGUUGCUUCGGGGGCGACCCUGCCGUUUCGACGGCGAGCGCCCCCGGAGGCCUUCAAACACUGCAUCUUUGCGUCGGAGUUUAAGUAAAUUAAACAAAACUUUCAACAACGGAUCUCUUGGUUCUGGCAUCGAUGAAGAACGCAGCGAAAUGCGAUAAGUAAUGUGAAUUGCAGAAUUCAGUGAAUCAUCGAAUCUUUGAACGCACAUUGCGCCCCUUGGUAUUCCGAGGGGCAUGCCUGUUCGAGCGUCAUUUCACCACUCAAGCCUCGCUUGGUAUUGGGCGCCGCGGUGUUCCGCGCGCCUCAAAGUCUCCGGCUGAGCUGUCCGUCUCUAAGCGUUGUGAUUUCAUUAAUCGCUUCGGAGCGCGGGCGGUCGCGGCCGUUAAAUCUUUCACAAGGUUGACCUCGGAUCAGGUAGGGAUACCCGCUGAACUUAAGCAUAUCAAAAGCCGGAGGAA